CUCGACGACAUCUUGGUUUACAGUGCCUUGUGGCCUGAACAUUUACAGCACCCGCGUAUAGUGUUGGAAACAUUGCGUCAGACUCAUUUCUUUGCCAAAAUGUCAAAGUGCUCUUUUGGACAGACUCGGAUUCAGUAUUUGGAAUAUAUUAUCUCAGCUCAAGGUGUUGCAACUGAUCAAGAAAACAUUGGCAAUGGAACAGUGGCCCUUAACAACUUCGGCUACUGA
Molecule: ribosomal RNA, 228 nt
Filed under: Triticum aestivum (bread wheat)
Lineage: Eukaryota; Viridiplantae; Streptophyta; Magnoliopsida; Poales; Poaceae
Description: partial small subunit ribosomal RNA
Source: RNAcentral